Molecule: transfer RNA, 72 nt
Filed under: Ovis aries (sheep)
Lineage: Eukaryota; Metazoa; Chordata; Mammalia; Artiodactyla; Bovidae
Rfam family: tRNA
About the family: Transfer RNA (tRNA) molecules are approximately 80 nucleotides in length. Their secondary structure includes four short double-helical elements and three loops (D, anti-codon, and T loops).
Source: Rfam by way of RNAcentral
UCCUUGGUAGUCCAGUGGUUAGGACUGUGCGCUUUCACGGCUGAGGCCCUGAUUCAAUCCCUGGUCAGGGAG